AUUGAACGCUGGCGGCAGGCUUAACACACGCAAGUCGAGCGGGGGAAGGUAGCUUGCUACCGGACCUGGCGGCGGACGGGUGAGUAAUGCUUAGGAAUCUGCCUAUUAGUGGGGGACAACAUCUCGAAAGGGAUGCUAAUACCGCAUACGUCCUACGGGAGAAAGCAGGGGAUCUUCGGACCUUGCGCUAAUAGAUGAGCCUAAGUCGGAUUAGCUAGUUGGUGGGGUAAAGGCCUACCAAGGCGACGAUCUGUAGCGGGUCUGAGAGGAUGAUGCGCCACACUGGGACUGAGACACGGCCCAGACUCCUACGGGAGGCAGCAGUGGGGAAUAUUGGACAAUGGGGGGAACCCUGAUCCAGCCAUGCCGCGUGUGUGAAGAAGGCCUUAUGGUUGUAAAGCACUUUAAGCGAGGAGGAGGCUACUUUAGUUAAUACCUAGAGAUAGUGGACGUUACUCGCAGAAUAAGCACCGGCUAACUCUGUGCCAGCCGCCGCCGUAA
Molecule: ribosomal RNA, 501 nt
Filed under: uncultured bacterium
Lineage: Bacteria
Description: partial 16S ribosomal RNA
Rfam family: Bacterial small subunit ribosomal RNA
Source: RNAcentral